UACAGAGGUCCCGAGCGUUGUUCGGAUUCACUGGGCGUAAAGGGUGCGCAGGUGGCGCUUCAAGUUUGAUGUGAAAGCUUCGGGCUCAACCCGGAAAUGGCAUUGAAUACUGGAGUGCUUGAGGUUUGGAGGGGGGACUGGAAUUCUCGGUGUAGCAGUGAAAUGCGUAGAUAUCGAGAGGAACACCAGUGGCGAAGGCGAGUCCCUGGACAACACCUGACACUGAGGCACGAAAGCUAGGGGAGCAAACAGGAUUAGAAACCCCCGUAGUCC
RNAcentral lists this ribosomal RNA (273 nucleotides) under uncultured bacterium. RNAcentral's name for it is "partial 16S ribosomal RNA". It matches the Rfam family "Bacterial small subunit ribosomal RNA", at positions 524 to 796 of the family's 1533-position model. The record is from RNAcentral.